AGCGGCGGAUGGGUGAGUAACACGUGGGGAACCUGCCCCUAAGUCUGGGAUACCAUUUGGAAACAGGUGCUAAUACCGGAUAAUAAAGCAGAUCGCAUGAUCAGCUUUUGAAAGGCGGCGUAAGCUGUCGCUAAGGGAUGGCCCCGCGGUGCAUUAGCUAGUUGGUAAGGUAACGGCUUACCAAGGCGACGAUGCAUAGCCGAGUUGAGAGACUGACCGGCCACAUUGGGACUGAGACACGGCCCAAACUCCUACGGGAGGCAGCAGUAGGGAAUCUUCCACGAUGGACGCAAGUCUGAUGGAGCAACGCCGCGUGAGUGAAGAAGGUUUUCGGAUCGUAAAGCUCUGUUGUUGGUGAAGAAGGAUAGAGGUAGUAACUGGCCUUUAUUUGACGGUAAUCAACCAGAAAGUCACGGCUAACUACGUGCCAGCAGCCGCGGUAAUACGUAGGUGGCAAGCGUUGUCCGGAUUUAUUGGGCGUAAAGCGAGCGCAGGCGGAAAAAUAAGUCUAAUGUGAAAGCCCUCGGCUUAACCGAGGAACUGCAUCGGAAACUGUUUUUCUUGAGUGCAGAAGAGGAGAGUGGAACUCCAUGUGUAGCGGUGGAAUGCGUAGAUAUAUGGAAGAACACCACUGGCGAAGGCGGCUCUCUGGUCUGCAACUGACGCUGAGGCUCCAAAGCAUGGGUAGCGAACACGAUUAGAUACCCCUGGCAGUCCAUGCCGUAAACCACGACUGCUCCCUGU
RNAcentral lists this ribosomal RNA (744 nucleotides) under uncultured bacterium. RNAcentral describes it as "bacterial SSU rRNA". It matches the Rfam family "Bacterial small subunit ribosomal RNA", at positions 94 to 823 of the family's 1533-position model. The record is from RNAcentral.